UACGAAGGGUGCAAGCGUUAAUCGGAAUUACUGGGCGUAAAGCGCGCGUAGGUGGUUUGAUAAGUUGGAUGUGAAAGCCCCGGGCUCAACCUGGGAAUUGCAUCCAAAACUGUCUGACUAGAGUACGGUAGAGGGUAGUGGAAUUUCCUGUGUAGCGGUGAAAUGCGUAGAUAUAGGAAGGAACACCAGUGGCGAAGGCGACUACCUGGACUGAUACUGACACUGAGGUGCGAAAGCGUGGGGAGCAAACAGGAUUAGAUACCCCCGUAGUCCCU
RNAcentral lists this ribosomal RNA (275 nucleotides) under uncultured prokaryote. RNAcentral's name for it is "partial 16S ribosomal RNA". It matches the Rfam family "Bacterial small subunit ribosomal RNA", at positions 524 to 798 of the family's 1533-position model. The record is from RNAcentral.